This 443-nucleotide long non-coding RNA is filed under the name Lonchura striata (white-rumped munia). RNAcentral describes it as "domestica (Bengalese finch) lncRNA (ENSLSDG00000009767.1)". The record is from RNAcentral. Lineage: Eukaryota; Metazoa; Chordata; Aves; Passeriformes; Estrildidae.
UUUUCAUAUAUUAUCACAGUGUGGCUACUAAAAAUUCUGUGAAUAAUUUAACCUCACUUUUAUUUUUAUUUUUUUUAUCUUUCAGAAAUGAAUUCCUUUAUUGCAAGAAAUUGUGAUUAUUUAUUGAUUCAGAAAGAAAACAGACUGAAGUUCUCUUGGGUCUUCUGAAUAACAUAUAAAAUGAAUUGGCCAGCAGAGACCAAAAAUACCCUGCAAGUACAGAUGUGCACUUCUUAUUUCAGGUGUUUUAUGCUGUUCAUCACUAGAAGUAAUCCUUUUAACAAGAAACUCUUUCCUAGACCUAGAAGAUCAGAUGUGAUUCAGUAAGGUGAGUAUUGAUUAAAUAAUGUACCCAUCCACCUGGGAAUGAAGUUCAGAGAGUUUGUAGGAAAAAUUAGCCUAAAUUAUCACUGAAUAAAAAAUAAAUAUUAUUUAUUAAUACA